UUAACCCGUUUAACAACUCAACCCAUCAAAUUAAAUGAGUUAUGAGUUGACCCAAUCCAUUUAACAAAAUGAGUUGAGUUAACACAUAACUCAUUUAACUCUAAACUCAUUUGAUUAUGAGU
RNAcentral lists this microRNA precursor (122 nucleotides) under Arabidopsis thaliana (thale cress). RNAcentral describes it as "microRNA MIR405". It matches the Rfam family "MIR405 microRNA precursor family". RNAcentral also lists the same sequence under 1 other name. The record is from RNAcentral. Lineage: Eukaryota; Viridiplantae; Streptophyta; Magnoliopsida; Brassicales; Brassicaceae.